GGUCUCCAAAGGAAAGAAGGCCCGCCUUGAGGCACUUCAAACUCCAGCAAGGAUUGCCAAACCUUCGAAGCUGGUACCUCCCCCUCGACCUGUUCCAGAAGCUGCUGUACCAGCUACUCUGGAGGGCGUACCUCCUCCUCGACCUGUUCCAGAAGCUGCUGUGCCAGCCACUCUGGAGGGCAGCGUCUUUGUGCAUUCGAGCAAGUUUGCUCAACCGGAGGGGGAUGACAAGACUCUGUGUGUUGAUGAGUGGCCGUUUCUUCAAACAGAGUUUUGUGAGAAGGUGAACCAGCCAACUGCUCGGGUUGUCUCUGGACAGAGAAAACAAGAGGAGCCAACACCUUGGGGUCCAAAAGUUGUGAUGGCCCAGGCUGAUAAACCAACAGCCAAUGAGACCAGCUUCUUGG
This is a long non-coding RNA of Gadus morhua (Atlantic cod), 407 nucleotides long. The record is from Ensembl. Lineage: Eukaryota; Metazoa; Chordata; Actinopteri; Gadiformes; Gadidae.